Molecule: microRNA precursor, 104 nt
Filed under: Marmota monax (woodchuck)
Lineage: Eukaryota; Metazoa; Chordata; Mammalia; Rodentia; Sciuridae
Source: RNAcentral
AUUUUAUUUGCCUGGGAAUCCUGUAAAAAUACAGAUUCUGACUCAACAGACAUAGGCUGGGGCCUGAGAUUCUGCAUCUUUAACAAGUUCCCAGUGUUGCCUCU